GGAUCGCAGGGCUCCCAAAAUGGCGAGUGAGGCUGCGGGGACUCGCUGAGCAGCGGAGGGGGAGCGUGCAGAGCCGCUGCGGCCCUCACAGUCCGGAGCCCGGCCGUGCCGUGCCGUAGGGAACAUGCACUUUUCCAUUCCCGAAACCGAGUCCCGCAGCGGGGACAGCGGCGGCUCCGCCUACGUGGCCUAUAACAUUCACGUGAAUGGAGUCCUGCACUGUCGGGUGCGCUACAGCCAGCUCCUGGGGCUGCACGAGCAGUUCGGCAAGACCCAUUGCUUGGGAGCAGCGAGACCUUCAACAGUUUCCUGCGUCGGGCACAACAGGAGACACAGCAGGUCCCCACAGAGGAAGUGUCCUUGGAAGUGCUGCUCAGCAACGGGCAGAAAGUUCUGGUCAACGUGCUAACUUCAGAUCAGACUGAGGAUGUCCUGGAGGCUGUAGCUGCAAAGCUGGAUCUUCCAGAUGACUUGAUUGGAUACUUCAGUCUAUUCUUAGUUCGAGAAAAAGAGGAUGGAGCCUUUUCUUGUGAGUUUCUCUGGACUUGACUGCUUCCUUGUACUUCAGUAGAGUUUGCAACCCCCCUAACUCCCCACCCCCACCCCCAGAAUGAACAUUGCCUCAGGGCACUUCUUUCUUGAUUUCCCUUCCUUUAAAUCUCACUAUAUUUUCCUUUUUUUUUUUUUUAACCCAUAGUUGUACGGAAGUUGCAGGAGUUUGAGCUGCCUUAUGUGUCUGUCACCAGCCUUCGGAGUAAAGAGUAUAAGAUUGUGCUAAGGAAGAGUUAUUGGGACUCUGCCUAUGAUGACGAUGUCAUGGAGAACCGGGUUGGCCUGAACCUGCUUUAUGCUCAGACGGUAUCAGAUAUUGAGCGUGGGUGGAUCUUGGUCACCAAGGAACAGCACCGGCAACUCAAAUCUCUGCAAGAGAAAGUCUCCAAGAAGGAGUUCCUGAGACUGGCCC
This 964-nucleotide small RNA is filed under the name Pan troglodytes (chimpanzee). RNAcentral's name for it is "retained intron". Lineage: Eukaryota; Metazoa; Chordata; Mammalia; Primates; Hominidae. The record is from RNAcentral.